This 250-nucleotide ribosomal RNA is filed under the name uncultured bacterium. RNAcentral's name for it is "partial 16S ribosomal RNA". It matches the Rfam family "Bacterial small subunit ribosomal RNA", at positions 355 to 622 of the family's 1533-position model. The record is from RNAcentral.
UGGGGAAUAUUGGACAAUGGGCGCAAGCCUGAUCCAGCCAUGCCGCGUGAGUGACGAAGGUCUUCGGAUUGUAAAGCUCUUUUGGCGGGGACGAUAAUGACGGUACCCGCAGAAUAAGCCCCGGCUAACUUCGUGCCAGCAGCCGCGGUAAUACGAAGGGGGCUAGCGUUGUUCGGAAUCACUGGGCGUAAAGCGCACGUAGGCGGAUGUGCCAGUCAGGGGUGAAAUCCCGGAGCUCAACUCCGGAACU